UAGUAAGCUACUAAGAGUGUACGGAGGAUACCUUGGCGCCAAACGCCGAUGAAGGACGUGGUACACUGCGAAAAGUCUCGGGAAUCGUGUACAGAUGUUAUAUCCGAGAAUUUCCGAAUGGAAACCACUGCGGGUUUAUGCCGCAGUAUUCUGUUCUGAACACAUAGGGACAGAAGGGAACGAAGCGAACUGAAACAUCUAAGUAGCUUCGGAAAGAAAUAAUUCUCCUAGUAGUGGCGAGCGAACUGGGAAAAGCUCAAACCAUUUUGCGUGUCAAAAUGGGGUUGUAGGGCAUCGCGAUAGGAGUAAAAAGUUGUUUGGUAAUGGAAUGGUGUGGAAAGGCCAACCAGAGAGGGUGACAGUCCUGGUUAUGAAACCAAGUAGCCUCCUGCGAUGUACCUGAUACAACGGGCGUGGAACCCUGUUGGAAUCUGGGCGGACCCGCCGCCUGGGCUAAAUACGUUUGGCGACCGAUAGCGAACUAGUACCGUGAGGGAAAGGUGAAAGACCCUAGUGAAGGGAGUGAAAUAGAACCGAAACCGUACACUUACAACGGUCAGAGCACGAUGGCGCAAGCCCGUGUGAUGGCGUGCCUUUGGAGAAUGAGCCAGCGAGUUAAUCUCCAGUGGCAAGGUUAAGUCAGAGACAGACGGGCCAUAGCGAAAGCGAGUCUGAAAAGGGCGCGAAGUCGCUGGGAUUAGACACGAAACCAGUGAGCUACCCAUGGGCGGGCUGAAGCGAGUGUAAGAGCUCGUGGAGGGCCGAACUCACUAAUGUUGCAAAAUUAGGGGGAUGACCUGUGGGUAGAGGUGAUAUGCCAAUCGAACUUGGAGAUAGCUUGUUCUCUCCGAAAUAGCUUUAGGGCUAGCGUUGCGCGUUUACUGUUGGGGUAGAGCACUGAAUAGGCUGGGGGCGCAAGCUUACCAAACCUAAUCAAACUCCGAAUACCAGCAGUUUAGAGCUGUGGCAGUCGGACUACGUGAGAUGAGAUUUCGUAGUCGAAGGGGAAACAACCCAGACCGCCAGCUAAGUCCCUAAGUGUGUGCUAAGUGGGAAACGAUGUGGAGAGUGUUUAGACAGCCAGGAGGUUGGCUUAGAAGCAGCCACCCUUUAAAGAGUGCGUAAUAGCUCCUCGUCAAACGCUCUUGCGCAUGGAAAAUGUAACGGGGCUCGAGCACACCACCGAAGCUACGGAUCGUGAUUUAUCGCGAUGGUAGGAGAGCGUUGUGUGGGAGAUACGAGCAUUACCGAAAGGAGAUGUGCAGGCUACACAAGUGAGAAUGCUGGCAUGAGUGGCGUAAAACAUGUGAGAACCAUGUUCCCGAACCCUAAGGUUUCCGACGGAAGGUCAAUCCGCGUCGGGUUAGUCGCAAGUGUAAGCUGAGGCCGAAAGGCGUAAGCGAUGGACAUCGGGUUAAUAUUCCCGAACCGGUAUGUGGAGCGAUGCGAGGACGCAAUUUGGUAGGUCAGCCCCUUAUUGGAUUGGGGUUCCAAACGGUUGGAGUCAUUGAAGACGGUAGGUAAGUCCGCUGUCUGAGACUGAGCCGUGACGGCGGUGCCUAAGAGCCAAAGUGGUCGAGCCAAGUUGCCGGAAAAUCCACUAAGCGAUGAAGUGUACCUGCCGUACCGCAAACCGACACUGGUAGGCGAGUUGAAGAUACUAAGGAACGAGAGAACCCUGGUUAAGGAACUAGGCAAAAUACCCCGUAACUUCGGGAUAAGGGGGGCCCUGCGGGUGAAUAGCCUGUGGGGGUCGCAGAGAAUGGCUCUUCAACUGUUUAUCAAAACACAGGUCUCUGCAAAGUCGAAAGACGAUGUAUAGGCGGCGACUGCCCGGUGCUGCAAGGUUAAAGGGAGGUGUGCAAGCACUGAACUGAAGCCCCAGUGAACGGCGGCCGUAAAUUAUAACGGUCCUAAGGUAGCGAAAUUCCUUGUCGGGUAAGUUCCGACCCGCACGAAUGGCGUAAUGAGAGGAGCACUGUCUCAACGAGGGACUCCGCGAAAUUGAAGUAUGCGUAAAGAUGCGCAUUACCUGCAGGACAAAAGACCCGUGGAGCUUUGCUGUAGCUUGACAUUGGGUUGAGGGUGCACUUGUAGGAUAGCUGGGAGGCUGAAGCUGGGACGCUAGUCUCUGGUGGAGCCAAUGUUGAAACUACCAGCCUGGUGUACUUUUGGCUCUAACCUGUGGCCUUUAUCGGGCAUGGGGACAUUGUCUGGUGGGCAGUUUGACUGGGGCGGUCGCCUCGAAAGAGUAACAGAGGCGCCCAAAGGUUGGCUCAGGCUGAAUGGAAACCAGCCGCAGAGUGUAAAGGCAGAAGCCAGCUUGACUGCGAGACUUACGUGGUCGAGCAGGGACGAAAGUCGGGCAGUGAUCCUACGGUUCCGAGUGGAAGGCCGUGGCUUACCGGAUAAAAAGCUACCCCGGGAUAACAGGCUAGUCUUGUCCAGAGUUCACAUCGACGACAAGGCUCGGCACCUCGAUGUCGGCUCAUCCAUCCUGGGGCUGGACAAGUCCCAAGGGUUCGGCUGUUCGCCGAUUAAAGCGGUACGAGCUGGGUUCAGACCGUCGGAGACAGGUCGGUCUCUAUCCGCUGUGGGCGCAAGGGAUUUUGGCUGCUGCCCUAGCAUGAGGAGGACUGGUGAAUGAACUGAUAGGUGCUAGUUAAAGCAACCACAUUGUUGUAGUUGUUGGAAUGGAUAACCGCCAGCAUUCAAGCGGGAAGCCAGCUUCAAGAUGAGAUCCCCUUACUAGGUCAACUAGGUAAGACCGCUGAAGACUACUAGCUUGAUAGGCGGCAGGUGCACACAGUAAUGUGUAGCUAAGCCGCAGCUCAUCGGUCGAGGGCUUACACUU
Molecule: ribosomal RNA, 2854 nt
Filed under: Candidatus Hadersleviella danica
Lineage: Bacteria; Bacillati; Chloroflexota; Ardenticatenia; Promineifilales (SeqCode); Promineifilaceae (SeqCode)
Description: 23S ribosomal RNA
Rfam family: Bacterial large subunit ribosomal RNA
Source: RNAcentral